CCGGAUGGCGACCGGCGCACGGGUGAGUAACGCGUAUGCAACCUGCCCGAUACCGGGGUAUAGCCCAUGGAAACGUGGAUUAACACCCCAUAGUACUUUUAUCCUGCCUGGGAUGGGAGUUAAAUGUUCAAGGUAUCGGAUGGGCAUGCGUCCUAUUAGUUAGUUGGCGGGGUAACAGCCCACCAAGACGAUGAUAGGUAGGGGUUCUGAGAGGAAGGUCCCCCACAUUGGAACUGAGACACGGUCCAA
This 249-nucleotide ribosomal RNA is filed under the name uncultured bacterium. RNAcentral describes it as "partial 16S ribosomal RNA". It matches the Rfam family "Bacterial small subunit ribosomal RNA", at positions 84 to 334 of the family's 1533-position model. The record is from RNAcentral.